This 446-nucleotide ribosomal RNA is filed under the name uncultured bacterium. Its description in RNAcentral is "partial 16S ribosomal RNA". It matches the Rfam family "Bacterial small subunit ribosomal RNA", at positions 338 to 795 of the family's 1533-position model. The record is from RNAcentral.
CCUACGGGUGGCUGCAGUCGAGAAUCAUUCACAAUGGGGGAAACCCUGAUGGUGCGACGCCGCGUGGGGGAAUGAAGGUCUUCGGAUUGUAAACCCCUGUCAUGUGGGAGCAAAUUAAAAAGAUAGUACCACAAGAGGAAGAGACGGCUAACUCUGUGCCAGCAGCCGCGGUAAUACAGAGGUCUCAAGCGUUGUUCGGAAUCACUGGGCGUAAGGCGUGCGUAGGCUGUUUCGUAAGUCGGGUGUGAAAGGCGCGGGCUCAACCCGCGGACGGCACAUGAUACUGCGAGACUAGAGUAAUGGAGGGGGAACCGGAAUUCUCGGUGUAGCAGUGAAAUGCGUAGAUAUCGAGAGGAACACUCGUGGCGAAGGCGGGUUCCUGGACAUUAACUGACGCUGAGGCACGAAGGCCAGGGGAGCGAAAGGGAUUAGAUACCCGGGUAGUC